CGAGCGCUCCCACCGAGCUGCCUGCCAUGGGGCUGGGGCUGCUGCUCCCGCUGCUGCUGCUCUGGACUCGGGGGACUCAGGGGUCCGAGCUGGACCCCAAAGGGCAGCACGUCUGUGUGGCCAGCAGCCCCUCUGCUGAGCUGCAGUGCUGCGCAGGCUGGAGGCAGAAGGAUCAAGAAUGCACCAUCCCCAUCUGUGAGGGGCCGGACGCCUGCCAGAAAGACGAGGUGUGUGUGAAGCCGGGCCUCUGUCGAUGCAAGCCUGGAUUCUUUGGGGCCCACUGCAGCUCCCGCUGCCCGGGCCAGUACUGGGGCCCCGACUGCCGUGAGAGCUGCCCCUGCCACCCGCACGGCCAGUGCGAGCCAGCCACGGGCGCGUGCCAGUGCCAGGCCGACCGCUGGGGAGCCCGCUGCGAGUUCCCGUGCGCCUGCGGCCCCCACGGGCGCUGCGACCCCGCGACCGGCGUGUGCCACUGCGAACCCGGCUGGUGGUCGUCCACGUGCCGCCGCCCGUGCCAGUGCAACACCGCGGCGGCGCGCUGCGAGCAGGCCACGGGCGCCUGCGUGUGCAAGCCGGGCUGGUGGGGGCGCCGCUGCAGCUUCCGCUGCAACUGCCACGGCUCCCCGUGCGAGCAGGACUCCGGCCGCUGCGCCUGCCGGCCGGGCUGGUGGGGUCCCGAAUGCCAGCAGCAGUGCGAGUGUGUGCGGGGCCGCUGCAGCGCCGCCUCCGGCGAGUGCACCUGCCCGCCCGGCUUCCGCGGAGCGCGCUGCGAGCUGCCCUGCCCGGCAGGCAGCCACGGGGUGCAGUGCGCACACAGGUGAGCGGGCGGGGCGGGGACAGGUGGGCUGGCGGGGCGGGGGCGGACACAAGUGAGCAGGCGGGGCGGGGCGGAGACAGGGGGGCGGGGCGGAGACAGGGGGCGGGGCGAAGACAGGUGGG
This 939-nucleotide long non-coding RNA is filed under the name Homo sapiens (human). RNAcentral's name for it is "non-protein coding lnc-RILP-1:3". The record is from RNAcentral. Lineage: Eukaryota; Metazoa; Chordata; Mammalia; Primates; Hominidae.